Molecule: ribosomal RNA, 497 nt
Filed under: uncultured bacterium
Lineage: Bacteria
Description: partial 16S ribosomal RNA
Rfam family: Bacterial small subunit ribosomal RNA
Source: RNAcentral
GAUGAACGCUGGCGGCGUGCCUAAUACAUGCAAGUCGAGCGAACGGACGAGAAGCUUGCUUCUCUGAUGUUAGCGGCGGACGGGUGAGUGACACGUGGAUAACCUACCUAUAAGACUGGGAUAACUUCGGGAAACCGGAGCUAAUACCGGAUAAUAUUUUGAACCGCAUGGUUCAAAAGUGAAAGACGGUCUUGCUGUCACUUAUAGAUGGAUCCGCGCUGCAUUAGCUAGUUGGUAAGGUAACGGCUUACCAAGGCAACGAUGCAUAGCCGACCUGAGAGGGUGAUCGGCCACACUGGAACUGAGACACGGUCCAGACUCCUACGGGAGGCAGCAGUAGGGAAUCUUCCGCAAUGGGCGAAAGCCUGACGUAGCAACGCCGCGUGAGUGAUGAAGGUCUUCGGAUCGUAAAACUCUGUUAUUAGGGAAGAACAUAUGUGUAAGUAACUGUGCACAUCUUGACGGUACCUAAUCAGAAAGCCACGGCUAACUACGUG